GAUGAACGCUGGCGGCGUGCCUAAUACAUGCAAGUCGAGCGAACGGACGAGAAGCUUGCUUCUCUGAUGUUAGCGGCGGACGGGUGAGUAACACGUGGAUAACCUACCUAUAAGACUGGGAUAACUUCGGGAAACCGGAGCUAAUACCGGAUGAUAUUUUGAACCGCAUGGUUCAACAGUGAAAGACGGACUUGCUGUCACUUAUAGAUGGAUCCGCGCUGCAUUAGCUAGUUGGUAAGGUAACGGCUUACCAAGGCAACGAUGCAUAGCCGACCUGAGAGGGUGAUCGGCCACACUGGAACUGAGACACGGUCCAGACUCCUACGGGAGGCAGCAGUAGGGAAUCUUCCGCAAUGGGCGAAAGCCUGACGGAGCAACGCCGCGUGAGUGAUGAAGGUCUUCGGAUCGUAAAACUCUGUUAUUAGGGAAGAACAUAUGUGUAAGUAACUGUGCACAUCUUGACGGUACCUAAUCAGAAAGCCACGGCUAACUACGUG
This 497-nucleotide ribosomal RNA is filed under the name uncultured bacterium. RNAcentral describes it as "partial 16S ribosomal RNA". It matches the Rfam family "Bacterial small subunit ribosomal RNA", at positions 28 to 507 of the family's 1533-position model. The record is from RNAcentral.